AAUUAAAAAGCAUAGGUCAGAUUUGUUCAGAGAAGAGGCAGUCAAGUCACAAAUAUGGAAGGCUCUUAUAGCCUAUUCUGUUGAAUCCAGACUUGGAUUACAAUGAAGUGCAAUACCGCAGUGUAAAACAGAAAUUAAAAAGAGAGCAUGAAACUUUAUUUCAGACUAAUGUGAAAGCAAGCUGUUCUGUGGUAACAGUAUUAUUUAAUAAAGAGUAUGGCUAAGUGAACUUAAGUUUUUUUAAAGUACAGCUUAUAAAAUAAGGAAGUAAUAUUAUUCUAACUGUUUAACAUUAUUCUAAUCAGUCAAGAAAGUGAACAUGGUAU
This is a long non-coding RNA of Oxyura jamaicensis (ruddy duck), 326 nucleotides long. RefSeq lists it as uncharacterized. NCBI's taxonomy places the organism in Eukaryota, Metazoa, Chordata, Aves, Anseriformes, Anatidae. The record is from RefSeq and is a predicted model, not a curated record. The transcript has 2 exons.